Molecule: ribosomal RNA, 459 nt
Filed under: Cupedora patruelis
Lineage: Eukaryota; Metazoa; Mollusca; Gastropoda; Stylommatophora; Camaenidae
Description: partial 12S ribosomal RNA
Source: RNAcentral
GUCAAACUUUAGUAGUGAGAAAUUAUUAGCGGAUAAACACCCGAGUAGCAUUACGUGUGGUGAAAUAUAAAAAUAAACACCUCUGUCCGUGUGUCUUAGUAAUGAAACACUGCUACUAAACAGGGAUUAGAGACCCCUUUAUACUAGUGCUCAUUUCAUCCCGCGGAGUACUAAAACUAACAGAGUUAAAACUUAAGCAACAUGGCGGUAAUUUCAAUUUAGGGGAACUUACCUGAUAAAUGAUAACCACCAAGGUUAAACAACUGUGAAAAAUUCUUGUAUGCCGUCGUCGUCAGGCGACACUUGAGGUCCCGCCGUGAUAGCUACCUUAAAAGACAGAUCAAGGUGCAGACGAUUUCGCAGCCAUGGCGAGUUACAAUUUCAGUUAAUAACGGAUAGACGAUGUAAUACACAUUGAAGGGGGACUUAACAGUAAUAAUAACUAUCAUUAGUUUAUGA